Molecule: ribosomal RNA, 468 nt
Filed under: uncultured bacterium
Lineage: Bacteria
Description: partial 16S ribosomal RNA
Rfam family: Bacterial small subunit ribosomal RNA (bases 49-468)
Source: RNAcentral
GGGGGGGGGGGGGGGGGGGCGGGGGGGGGGGGGGGGGGGGGGAGAGGCGCUGCGUGGGUGGGGUGCUCGGGUGGCGAGCGGGUGGGUGACACGGGAGUAACCUGCCCUUGACUUUGGGAUAACUGCGGGAAACUGGGGCUAAUCCCGGAUAGGCGCUCCUGCUGCAUGGUGGGGGUUGGAAAGUUUCGGCGGUUGGGGAUGGACUCGCGGCUUGUCAGCCUGUUGGUGGGGUAGUGGCGUACCAAGGCUUUGACGGGUAGCCGGCCUGAGAGGGUGACCGGCGACAUUGGGACUGAGAUACGGCCCAGACUCCUACGGGAGGCAGCAGUGGGGAAUAUUGCACAAUGGGCGGAAGCCUGAUGCAGCAACGCCGCGUGCGGGAUGACGGCCUUCGGGUUGUAAACCGCUUUCGCCUGUGACGAAGCGUGAGUGACGGUAAUGGGUAAAGAAGCACCGGCUAACUACGUG